Molecule: ribosomal RNA, 120 nt
Filed under: uncultured bacterium
Lineage: Bacteria
Description: partial 16S ribosomal RNA
Rfam family: Bacterial small subunit ribosomal RNA
Source: RNAcentral
GCGCUACCGGAUGGGCCCGCGCCCGAUUAGCUAGUUGGUGAGGUAACGGCUCACCAAGGCGACGAUCGGUAACCGGCCUGAGAGGGCGAUCGGUCACACCGGAACUGAGACACGGUCCGG